Non-coding RNA from Cyanistes caeruleus (blue tit), 4542 nucleotides. The record is from RefSeq and is a predicted model, not a curated record. NCBI's taxonomy places the organism in Eukaryota, Metazoa, Chordata, Aves, Passeriformes, Paridae.
GAGGCGGUGGGAGACUGCGCGUCCCGCCAGGCAUUGUCCUGCCGGCUCGUCCGCGGUCCGGGGCCCUGCCCGCGGGCCUGGGAGCCGUCCUGCCUUCGUGGGUGGGAGCGCUCCCGCCUCCAUGGGAGCACUCCCGCCUCCAUGGGAGCACUCGCGCCUUCAUGGGAGCACUCUCGCCUCCAUGGGAGCACUCCCGCCCCACGGGGGCCGCGGGACUCUUCUCCGGGAGCAGCUUUCGGCCCUCCGGAGCGUCCCCGGUGCGACCGCAGCGCCACAAGUCCGGCGAAGGGAAAGGGAAAACUUGCGGCUUCUCGAGCAAUGUCGAGGCUUUUGUUUGUCCGUUGUUGUUUUAAAUGCUCGCAGCCGGCAGUAGUUCAUUAAAAGCGUCACAGGCACGGACAGCCUUAGGAGAGGAAAAAUGUAUGUGGGCUUCAGAAUUACUGUUCAGAGUGCAAGACCAAAAUUGGCUGACAGCGUUGAUUGCCAUCCAGUUGCAAUAUUCCGUGCAGUAAUUCACUUUUAUGUGUUUUGGGCUGGGGGUUUUCACACAUUCAUUCCCCCAAACAGUCCUUUUCAUCACUCUUCUAUUGGUGUUAUUUACUGUUUUAAGCAUGGACUGAUGCAUUCAUACAAAUGUGUUUUUUUGCCUAGGGAAAGAAACCUUUGGGGCUUGCGUGAUGUCAAGUGAAAGUAAAUGAAUGUAAGAAUUGCGGUAGCAGAUCAGGUUUGCUCUCCACCGUGCUUUUUGUUUCUGUCUUUAUCUGUGCCAGAUGUAGCCAAGCAAAAAGGAAAUAUAUACUUGGCUUAAGCCAAGUAUGAGUAAAACUUGGCUAUUUUUGACAGUAAAACUGUUUUUGACAGUCAAGACCAAUGAAAAGUGGUACUUUUCCCAUGUCUGAAGUUCAAAUAUUGUGAGUAGUUAAAGGUGACUGAAUUUUGGGAAGUGAAGCAUACAUAUUGUAUAUAGCCUUUAUGGAGACCGAUGUAGUAACGUGUUGGAUACACACAGCAUAGCAAGCAAGUUGAAGGGUAUUAAUUCCUUUGUCAUUAAAGAUGGAGGAAAAUGUAAAAGGUGUAACAAUAAACUCUUGAUAACUUUUCAACUUGGUGGAAAAAGUGCUGGAUGAAUAUGGUGUCAUACUCACUCCAUCAUCAGCCACAUAGUUUAUACUGCCAAACCAGAAAUACCAACUACUCUCAUAGAAAUGAGAACAGAUUUUAGAUGGUCAUUUAGCUCAGUCUUAGUGGAAAUGAUCUCUAUAUUAUUGCUCAUACAGAUCACUUUCCCAUAUUAAUUCUGACACACCAGUGUAGGCAUAACAGUUUGGGGUGAGAAACUGCUUGGCCCCAGUUUGGUAUGUAAAAGACAAGAUUGACCCUUUGUGGGAAGGUAAAUGACUGAAUUUACUGCAGUGAAAGAGUUAGAUGCAGCAAGAGAACUUAAUCUGUGCAAAAGCAUAGGAAAGUAAUUACGUCCUAUAUUCAGCAGGAGAAAGGCUAGGUGAAUUUAGGGGAAAUCUGAAUCGAUGGCAUCACUUUAUUUUAUGCUUAAUUGUGGCUUUAAUGAUUUUUAAAAAAGAAAAAAAAAAAGUUGUAGACAUGUUUGGGAGCACGUUUUAUGCAGCUGAUGUCUAAUAACGAUACUGCAAAAAAAGACACCACUAUUAGAACCACAACUGAAAUACGGUCAUACAGUAAGUCCCUACCAUUUGCCUCAUGACCAAAAUCCCAGGAGAGCCCAGACAUUGGAACUUUGCAAGCUUGGGGAUAGCUAGCAAAAUUCUCAACAAGGCCUACUGUGCCACAGUGUUUUAUGUGUAUUGUGGUGCCCAGGAGACCAAGGAACACAGCUCUUGGGGCUGUGUCUCAGUCACUUCCAUUAGUUAUGGUGUAUGCCCUGUGUCUGUUAGUGAAUCAGGAAAAUGAAAUUCAGCUAUGCCAGCAGAAGGACAAAGUACUAGUGGGGCUGGCUGCUGUCUGCAAGGUGUGAGUUCCCCCUGUUUAUUUGUAGUGGUUUAUUGUAAUGUGAGAGGCUGUUAUAGAAACACAGACCUGCUCAAAAAACUGCUCACUGUAGUGCUUUACAGGAAGAGAUGGCAGGGAAUUGUGAGGUAAACUACAAAUGAAAUACAAUUCAAUUUGUUCACUAUCUGUUGAAAAGAAAUCAGGAACUUAUUUAUUUACCUGUAGGCUUCUUUAGUAUUUUUUUGGCAAAUGAAGAUGCUCAUGUUUUUCAUUUCUGCCCAUACUAAUUUAUGUUGUGUAAUCAAAUGACUAGCCACACCAACUUGACUAGGAUUGCUUGUGUAAGUGCUGUUUAUCAUGACAUACCAAUGGCACUGAGUUUAGGCUGACAUUUAAGAAGUGAUAAGCCUACAGACCACAAAAAAUACUGUUUUUGCAAUAGAAAACUUCCUGUUUAUAAAUGCAAAGAAUUAACUCUAUUGAUUAGCUUAACUUUUAGAACAGCCUAAUUAGAACAGUUCCUGAUAAGGAAACAGGGAUUAAUGACUGUUUAUUGGAAGGCAAAUACAGUGAAAAAGAACUAAACACAAGCUGUGAAUUCAAGGUAAAAAGAAAUUCAAUUUGUGCGUUAUAAUCAACACUGCUCAAAAAACUCCUUUGCAACUACAUGCCUGCUUAGCACAAGAAGUGAAAGGAGACCACUGGAGCUGCUGUUUUCUCCUGUUUAUAUAAUAUUAUUAAUGUUGAUGGCAUUUCUCCAGCAAAUGUUUCAUAUAAAUCAUGUUUCGUCACUGUGACGGAGUGAUGGCAUGAAGGAGUAUUACAGAUGUCCUGUAAUCUACCUAAAGCUAAUUGCUUGCUUAGGUUUCAUUAGUUCUCAACAGACAGGAAAAAAAAGCUGAUUAAAAACAUAAAUUUAUGUUUGGAUAUACACUUCUCAGAUGGGGAUUAAAAUUUUCAAAUCUCCCUCUCUUCUGCACUUACCCAUUCCAUAUCCCUGUAAUGUCCUUUUUCUAUUCUAAUUUAUUCUAUCUCUUCCCAUGUGUAGAGCUGUUUGACACAUUAACUCCCAUAAUUUCCAUCUUUGUGUUGCAUCUGCUGAUACCACCCUUCGCUUCUUCCUUCCAAAUCCAUUCUUAUCUUCUGAGCUGCAUGAUUGCUGGAGCUUUCUGUACCCAUUUAGGACUGUCACAGUUUUGUAUUUACUUCAGUACUCUGAUUUUUAACUCUCGUCUAAUACAGUGUUUCUGGAUUUACAGUCCUUUUGUUUCUUUGUUUUCAAGAAGGACACAUUUCUAAUGAUAUUAUUUGAAAAUAUCAGGAAAGAUCUACCUAUCCCAUCCCUAGAUUGAUAUUCCAGGUCUUGGCUAUUGCUGGUAGGUUCCUGUGCUUUGGUUUCUCACAAGGGAGCCUCCCUGCCUGUGGCACUCAGAGGUUGCAGAUGUACACCUGCAUGUUUCUGAUGGCUCUCACAAGAAAUUCAAGACAGCAACAGCUAAGUGGAGAGCCUACCACCUAAAACUGCAAGCCUGGCUAGCUCUUGAGCUACCAGAAACUAGCAGUUUGUUUUUCUUUGGCACCUGCUCUUGCUGCCCUACAGCAGUCCUGUGUGGCAGGCCAGAAUCCAUUCACCACGGUGCCUGUGUUGUGGAUUGCAGCGUUCCCAGCAGUUCUGGCUGCCAGUGUCAGUAUCAGGCCUGCUGCUCUCCUCACAUGUUUUCAACUAUUUUCUUGUAAUUCCUCCUCACAUCCUGUUUGUUGCCUGCUAUUUUUCUGCUGUUGCAGCUGUUUUUUCCAUUCUUUGCAGUCCUCCCAGUUUUGCAGUCCAGCUGUCCCUCCCAGCUGCCAUGAACUCCACCAUCUCCCAAAUUCCACCCUUUCUGCUGCUGCAGGGGCAUCACCCACAGCCUUAUUCUCCCUUUGCAGGAAAUAACUAUCAUUCCUGCUCUACUGCACACCAUGGCUAUUGGAGGACAUUAGUUAAAUAACUGAAUUGUCUUGAGACUGAGAACUAUGUAAGGAUUACUGCAUGAUUGUAUUUUUUCUGAGCAAUCAACUUUAUGUGAUGGGAAACUCCAUCCGAAGUUGGAUCAUAGGAAAAAGCUGUGUCAGAGUUUUAAGUACAUAAUAUUACCCUAGUCUAGUGCAGCACUAUGCAGGAACUUCUCACUUCUGUGGAACAAUCUCUCAAAAGGGCAACUUUGGCCCAGAAAUAUUGUGUCUGGAUGGCAAUCUCUCUUGAGAAAUCAGUUUCCUUUUCUGUUUAUUACAAACUCUCUUGGAUUCUGAGAUUCACAUUCCUGUUUCUGGAAGGAAAUCCAUGACCCUAGAUAAUUUAACAGUCAACAGGAAAAUGGAACUGCCAUUUAUCUUUCAGCUUGACUUUGUGAACAGACUCAGGCAAUUAUAUCUCCAUCUUUUAGUUAAUUUUAUCUGCUACAGACUCAGUUAAAUUUGCUUGCAGAUUUCAGUUAUUUCCUGAAUAUCUGCAGGAUAUGAGCAAUUGCUGUUUAUAUAUUAAUCACUGAAAUGUUUUAUCCUGACUUGCUAAGGAAAUAAAGCUUACAUGAGCAAUCC